GACGAACGCUGGCGGCGUGCUUAACACAUGCAAGUCGAACGGAAAGGCCAUGAUUUUGUGGGGUGCUCGAGUGGCAAACAGGUGAGUAACACGUGAGUAACCUGCCCUUGAAUUUGAGAUAAAUUAAGGAAACUGGGGCUAAUACCGGAUAGGAGCUCCUGCUGCAUGGUGGGGGUUGGAAAGUUUCGGCGGUUGGGGAUGGACUCGCGGCUUAUCAGCUUGUUGGUGGUGUAGUGGCUUACCAAUGCUUUGACGGGUAGCCGGCCUGAGAGGGUGACCGGUCACAUUGGGACUGAGAUACGUCCCAGACUCCUACGGGAGGCAGCAUUGGGGAAUAUUGCACAAUGGGCGGAAGCCUGAUGCAGCAACGCCUCUUGUGGGAUGACGGCCUUCUGGUUGUAAACCGCUUUCGCCUGUGACGAAGCGUGAGUGACGGUAAUGGGUAAAGAAGCACCGGCUAACUACGUG
Molecule: ribosomal RNA, 468 nt
Filed under: uncultured bacterium
Lineage: Bacteria
Description: partial 16S ribosomal RNA
Rfam family: Bacterial small subunit ribosomal RNA
Source: RNAcentral